CACGUAGGGGGCAAGCGUUGUCCGGAUUUAUUGGGCGUAAAGAGCUCGUAGGUGGCUUAGUAAGUCGGGUGUGAAACCUCCAGGCUCAACCUGGAGACGCCACCCGAUACUGCUAUAGCUUGAGUCCGGUAGGGGAGCGUGGAAUUCCUGGUGUAGCGGUGAAAUGCGCAGAUAUCAGGAGGAACACCAGCGGCGAAGGCGGCGCUCUGGGCCGGUACUGACGCUGAGGAGCGAAAGCGUGGGGAGCGAACAGG
RNAcentral lists this ribosomal RNA (254 nucleotides) under uncultured bacterium. RNAcentral's name for it is "partial 16S ribosomal RNA". It matches the Rfam family "Bacterial small subunit ribosomal RNA", at positions 524 to 776 of the family's 1533-position model. The record is from RNAcentral.